GGGGGGGGCAAGCGUUGUUCGGAAUUACUGGGCGCAAAGGGCGCGUAGGCGGCCUGCUAAGUCGGAUGUGAAAUCCCUCGGCUCAACCGGGGAACUGCAUCCGAUACUGGCGGGCUUGAAUCCGGGAGAGGGAUGUGGAAUUCCAGGUGUAGCGGUGAAAUGCGUAGAUAUCUGGAGGAACACCGGUCGCGAAGGCGGCAUCCUGGACCGGUAUUGACGCUGAGGCGCGAAAGCUAGGGGAGCAAACGGGAUUAGAUACCCCGGUAGUCCUAGCCCUAAACGAUGAGUGCUUGGUGUGGCGGGUAUCGAUCCCUGCCGUGCCGAAGCUAACGCAUUAAGCACUCCGCCUGGGGAGUACGGUCGCAAGGCUG
Molecule: ribosomal RNA, 371 nt
Filed under: uncultured bacterium
Lineage: Bacteria
Description: bacterial SSU rRNA
Rfam family: Bacterial small subunit ribosomal RNA
Source: RNAcentral